AGUGAACGCUGGCGGUAGGCCUAACACAUGCAAGUCGAACGGCAGCACAGGAGAGCUUGCUCUCUGGGUGGCGAGUGGCGGACGGGUGAGGAAUACAUCGGAAUCUGCCCAGUCGGGGGGGAUAACGUGGGGAAACUUACGCUAAUACCGAAUACGACCUUCGGGGGAAAGAGGGGGAUGGAAGGACCUCUCGCGAUUGGAUGAGCCGAUGUCGGAUUAGCUAGUUGGCGGGGUAAUGGCCCACCAAGGCGACGAUCCGUAGCUGGUCUGAGAGGAUGAUCAGCCACACUGGAACUGAGACACGGUCCAGACUCCUACGGGAGGCAGCAGUGGGGAAUAUUGGACAAUGGGCGCAAGCCUGAUCCAGCCAUACCGCGUGGGUGAAGAAGGCCUUCGGGUUGUAAAGCCCUUUUGUUGGGAAAGAAAUCUUUCAGGCUAAUACCCUGGGAGGAUGACGGUACCCAAAGAAUAAGCACCGGCUAACUUCGUG
Molecule: ribosomal RNA, 490 nt
Filed under: uncultured bacterium
Lineage: Bacteria
Description: partial 16S ribosomal RNA
Rfam family: Bacterial small subunit ribosomal RNA
Source: RNAcentral